GUCAUCCAAAUUUGGACGUCGUGCCUCCUCCGGUCCUCCCUCCAUGCCGGUUGUUCCUUCCUCUGCAACAACACACAGGUACUCUAUCACCCUAAUCACCGCAGCAGCGGCCAAUAAUACCUAUCACUCGUCAUUCGUGAGGAUAUGAUUUUCUUCCUUGAUUCGAUUUGAUUUCCAUGGGUUGGUAAUUGUGUUCCUGCGGUUUAACAGGACGUCACAUGGAUUGAUUCAUUGGCUGGGACGAGAACCAAGACAAGAUACGCUACUGCAAAAUCAACAUGGAGUUUGCCCUCUGAAUGACAUGUGUUCUGGAACUAAUGAUUUCCUGAUUCUAUUGCUAUGUAGUGCGUGUGUACUCAUUAAUCAACCCCGUAGGAGUAGGUUGUCAGAAAGAAAAGAAAAUGCCUUCA
RNAcentral lists this long non-coding RNA (410 nucleotides) under Triticum aestivum (bread wheat). RNAcentral describes it as "long non-coding RNA (TAES_LNC003368)". Lineage: Eukaryota; Viridiplantae; Streptophyta; Magnoliopsida; Poales; Poaceae. The record is from RNAcentral.